Molecule: long non-coding RNA, 1244 nt
Organism: Carya illinoinensis
Lineage: Eukaryota; Viridiplantae; Streptophyta; Magnoliopsida; Fagales; Juglandaceae
Exons: 4
Source: RefSeq, a predicted model, not a curated record
AGCUCUGUUUUAAAAUUGAAAAAGUCUACUUACAACCGACCUGAGAAACCCCCGCGUAACCGGCUCCUACGUGGCACGUUUCAAAACGGCGUCGUCACUGCUUUAACUCAAAUUCAAACUUGCCUCGUCACUGUGUUACUGCGUUUCGAAAACUCUCUACUUUCUCUUCCUUCCAAGACCCUCCUCUCUUCCUCAUUCCCAUCGUCUUCCGCAGAAAGGCAGAAGCAGCCUUCCAUCCCAGUCGAAAAUCAUUCCCAGUUGAAGAAAGAACCCACAAACCCACGUUUCAGCUUCGUACCGAAGAACCACUGACGCACAAACCCACGAACAAGCCUCGAACCCAAGAGCCAGAAACCCAAUUUCAACCCACAAAUCGACAAACUAGAGCCACGAAAUCCAGUUCUGAAAUCCCGCUUUCCCACAGAGCACCGAUUAAAAUAACCCUAACCCUAACCUCAAAAAAUCGGGUUAGUUUUCUCCUUUUUAUGUCUUUUCAUUUUGGUUUCCAACAUUUCCCACUCUCAGAUCUGGAAUCAACCCGAGCACGCCUGCAUUUCGUCUGAAAGCAAGAAAUUUCUUUUUUUUCUUUGAAAUCUGGAGGCGCGUGAACUUGGAGGUCAAUGUUUGGUGGGUAUUGGAUUAAUUGCACAAAUAAAUGUUGGGUUGGUCACAUAUCUAAACACUUUUGAGCUUCUGGGUGGGCGUGUGUCGAAGGGAAUUUGAUAAUGGAGCAUGUGAUUGCUGGGAAGUUUAAGCUGGGGGGAAAGAUUGGGAGUGGGUCCUUUGGGGAGCUCUAUCUAGCCAUUAAUGUACAAACUGGAGAGGAGGUGGCUGUUAAGCUGGAAUAUGUGAAGACCAAGCAUCAAUAACCUGUUACGGAAGGAGAAAGAUCUCAAGAAGGUGGUCGAGUUUCUUGAAAAGAGUGAAAUUGACCUUCGUAAGAUAGUGGAUCAGCUCGAGAAGAAGUUGGGGCAUCACGCACAAGAAACUGAGAUAAGGCGUUUACAAUGAAUGUAUUGGGGUUUUGCAUUAGUAGUAUUAUGUUUUUGUAUUGGAUUUUGGCUCUUGUAUUGAACUCCAGACUUGAUGUAUGAAUUUUUGUACAUCCUUAUUCGUGUUUUGUUAGAUUUCAUGGAAUAUUGUGAUGGGAAUGUUGCAGUUUUGAUAGAAUUGCUUGAUUUUUAUUGUGUUUUGUAGGCAAGUGUAAAAAUGAUUUUGAAAGUUUGAUGCAACUAAUCUAAAAA